ACGAGAAGCUUGCUUCUCUGAUGUUAGCGGCGGACGGGUGAGUAACACGUGGAUAACCUACCUAUAAGACUGGGAUAACUUCGGGAAACCGGAGCUAAUACCGGAUAAUAUUUUGAACCGCAUGGUUCAAAAGUGAAAGACGGUCUUGCUGUCACUUAUAGAUGGAUCCGCGCUGCAUUAGCUAGUUGGUAAGGUAACGGCUUACCAAGGCAACGAUGCAUAGCCGACCUGAGAGGGUGAUCGGCCACACUGGAACUGAGACACGGUCCAGACUCCUACGGGAGGCAGCAGUAGGGAAUCUUCCGCAAUGGGCGAAAGCCUGACGGAGCAACGCCGCGUGAGUGAUGAAGGUCUUCGGAUCGUAAAACUCUGUUAUUAGGGAAGAACAUAUGUGUAAGUAACUGUGCACAUCUUGACGGUACCUAAUCAGAAAGCCACGGCUAACUACGUGCCAGCAGCCGCGGUAAUACGUAGGUGGCAAGCGUUAUCCGGAAUUAUUGGGCGUAAAGCGCGCGUAGGCGGUUUUUUAAGUCUGAUGUGAAAGCCCAAGGCUCAACCGUGGAGGGUCAUUGGAAACUGGAAAACUUGAGUGCAGAAGAGGAAAGUGGAAUUCCAUGUGUAGCGGUGAAAUGCGCAGAGAUAUGGAGGAACACCAGUGGCGAAGGCGACUUUCUGGUCUGUAACUGACGCUGAUGUGCGAAAGCGUGGGGAUCAAACAGGAUUAGAUACCCUGGUAGUCCACGCCGUAAACGAUGAGUGCUAAGUGUUAGGGGGUUUCCGCCCCUUAGUGCUGCAGCUAACG
This 802-nucleotide ribosomal RNA is filed under the name uncultured Staphylococcus sp. Its description in RNAcentral is "bacterial SSU rRNA". It matches the Rfam family "Bacterial small subunit ribosomal RNA", at positions 71 to 857 of the family's 1533-position model. Lineage: Bacteria; Bacillati; Bacillota; Bacilli; Caryophanales; Staphylococcaceae. The record is from RNAcentral.